Molecule: microRNA precursor, 143 nt
Filed under: Gossypium arboreum
Lineage: Eukaryota; Viridiplantae; Streptophyta; Magnoliopsida; Malvales; Malvaceae
Description: MIR7502 microRNA precursor family
Rfam family: MIR7502 microRNA precursor family
Source: Rfam by way of RNAcentral
UGUUAAUAUUUUCAUAUAUUUGUACUGUUAAAAACUGACGUAGUUGACGGAAUAUUCAGAUAGUGACACGUGGCAUGUCAUAUGUACCUCAUGCUGAUGUAAGGACUAGUCUUUAACAGUUAAAUUGGAUGAAUUUUUUAAUA